AGGGCCGAUGGCUCAAUAGUGGAGUGCCUGCCUGGCAUGCAAGAGGUCCCAGGUUGAAUCCCUGGCAGCUCUA
RNAcentral lists this transfer RNA (73 nucleotides) under Sphaerodactylus townsendi. RNAcentral describes it as "tRNA-Ala". It matches the Rfam family "tRNA". Rfam says of the family: Transfer RNA (tRNA) molecules are approximately 80 nucleotides in length. The record is from RNAcentral. Lineage: Eukaryota; Metazoa; Chordata; Lepidosauria; Squamata; Sphaerodactylidae.